RNAcentral lists this ribosomal RNA (246 nucleotides) under uncultured bacterium. RNAcentral's name for it is "partial 16S ribosomal RNA". It matches the Rfam family "Bacterial small subunit ribosomal RNA", at positions 531 to 776 of the family's 1533-position model. The record is from RNAcentral.
GGUGCAAGCGUUGUCCGGAAUUAUUGGGCGUAAAGAGCUCGUAGGCGGUCUGUCGGGUCGGCUGUGAAAACUCGGGGCUCAACUCCGAGCUUGCAGUCGAUACGGGCAGGCUAGAGUUCGGCAGGGGAGACUGGAAUUCCUGGUGUAGCGGUGAAAUGCGCAGAUAUCAGGAGGAACACCGGUGGCGAAGGCGGGUCUCUGGGCCGAAACUGACGCUGAGGAGCGAAAGCGUGGGGAGCAAACAGG